ACCAAACAAUCAGGUAGGAAUACCCGCUGAACUUAAGCAUAUCUA
This 45-nucleotide ribosomal RNA is filed under the name Monascus sp. SBL 2004d. Its description in RNAcentral is "partial 28S ribosomal RNA". The record is from RNAcentral. Lineage: Eukaryota; Fungi; Ascomycota; Eurotiomycetes; Eurotiales; Aspergillaceae.